RNAcentral lists this ribosomal RNA (340 nucleotides) under uncultured Bacteroidota bacterium. RNAcentral describes it as "bacterial SSU rRNA". It matches the Rfam family "Bacterial small subunit ribosomal RNA", at positions 60 to 391 of the family's 1533-position model. The record is from RNAcentral. Lineage: Bacteria; Pseudomonadati; Bacteroidota.
AGUCGAACGGGACUGAUGACCUUGCUUCUCAUGACCCGUGGCGUACGGGUGCACGCGUAUGCACCUACCUUCACUCAGGAGGCUAGCCCGAAGAAAUUCGGAUUAACACCGCAUAAUAUUACUGGAUGGCAUCAUUCGGUGAUCCAAUAUUUAUAGGAUGAAGAUGGGCCUGCGUGUCAUUAGCUAAUUGGUGAGGUAAUGGCUCACCAAGACGACGAUGACUAAGGGAUCUGAGAGGAUGAACCCCCACAACUGGAUACUGAGAACACCAGACCAUACUCCUACGGGACGGCAGCGGUACAGGAACUAUUGGUCAAUGGAGUGCACACUCAUGAACCAG